GAUANGCUGGCGGCGUGCCUAAUCAUGCAAGUCGAACGGGGAGUACAUACUUCGGUUUAUACUCCUAGUGGCGAACGGGUGAGUAACGCGUUGGUGACCUGCCCCGAAGAGGGGGACAACAGCUCGAAAGGGCUGCUAAUACCCCAUGUGGUCGUACAGGUUAGAGGCUGAACGACUAAAGGAGUAAUCCACUUCGGGAGGGGCCUGCGUCCCAUCAGCUAGUUGGUAAGGUAACGGCCUACCAAGGCGAAGACGGGUAGGGGGCCUGAGAGGGUGGCCCCCCACACUGGCACUGAAACACGGGCCAGACACCUACGGGUGGCAGCAGUAGGGAAUAUUGCACAAUGGGCGAAAGCCUGAUGCAGCAACGCCGCGUGCGCGAAGAAGGCCUUCGGGUUGUAAAGCGCUUUUCUGGAGGAAGAGAAAGGACGGUACUCCAGGAAUAAGGAUCGGCUAACUACGUGCCAGCAGCCGCGGUAAUACG
This 484-nucleotide ribosomal RNA is filed under the name uncultured Chloroflexota bacterium. Its description in RNAcentral is "bacterial SSU rRNA". It matches the Rfam family "Bacterial small subunit ribosomal RNA", at positions 33 to 527 of the family's 1533-position model. The record is from RNAcentral. Lineage: Bacteria; Bacillati; Chloroflexota.